Molecule: ribosomal RNA, 465 nt
Filed under: uncultured bacterium
Lineage: Bacteria
Description: partial 16S ribosomal RNA
Rfam family: Bacterial small subunit ribosomal RNA
Source: RNAcentral
GACGAACGCUGGCGGCGUGCUUAACACAUGCAAGUCGAACGGAAAGGCCCCUUUGGGGGUACUCGAGUGGCGAACGGGUGAGUGACACGUGAGUAACCUGCCCUUGACUUCGGGAUAACUUCAGGAAACUGGGGCUAAUACCGGAUAGGAAUCCUUGCGGCAUGGUGGGGGUUGGAAAGCUUCGGCGGUUUUGGAUGGACUCGCGGCUUAUCUGCUUGUUGGUGGGGUAGUGGCUUACCAAGGCUUUGACGGGUAGACGGCCUGAGAGGGCGACCGGCCACCUUGGGACUGAGAUACGGCACAGACUCCUGCGGGAUGCAGCAGUGGGGAAUAUUGCACUAUGCGCGGAAGCCUGAUGCAGCAACUCCGCGUGCGGGAUGACGGCCUUCGGGUUGUAAACCGCUUUCAGCAGGUGCGAAGCUUGUGGUGACGUUACCUGCAGAAUAAUCACCGGCUAACUACGUG